UAUCUCUGUAGAGUCUGCAUAUCAAUAAGCGGAGGAAAAGAAACUAACAAGGAUUCCCUUAGUAACGGCGAGUGAAGCGGGAAGAGCUCAAAUUUGAAAUCUUCAAGGUUUUACCUUGACGAAUUGUAGUUUAAAGAAGUGUUUUCUGUUGAAGUUUCGGUAAAAGUUCUUUGGAAUAGGACAUCAUAGAGGGUGAGAAUCCCGUAUUUGACCGUUAUUUUUCAGCUGUGUGAUACACUUUCAAAGAGUCGGAUUGUUUGGGAAUGCAGUCCAAAAUGGGUGGUAAAUUUCAUCUAAAGCUAAAUAUUGGCGAGAGACCGAUAGCGAACAAGUACCGUGAGGGAAAGAUGAAAAGAACUCUUGAAAAGAGAGUUAAACAGUACGUGAAAUUGUCAAAAGGGAAGCGUUUGACACCAGUGUUGUUUUCUCGAAAAUCAAUUAAAAAAUGGCUAGGAUUUUGUGUUGUAUUGACCUUAUAAGCUUUCUGCACUCUUUUUCUUGUCUUUUUUUAAUGCACUUUUCGUUUAACAAGUCAACAUCAGUUUCUUUUGUUAGUAAAAAGGUCAUUGGAAGGUGGCUUUCUUUUCGGAGAAAGUGUUUAUAGCCUUUGACUUCUGCAAUCGGAGAGACUGAGGUCUGCAGCGUAGAUCCUUCUGGAUUAGAUUCAUUUGUGCUAAGUUACAACCGUUUAUAGACAACUUGUUGACUAUAUUCGAUCCUGUAGCUUACUCGCUUAUGUAAUUUUACCUACGCUUAGGAUGUUGAUAUGCAUGACUGAUAU
This 781-nucleotide ribosomal RNA is filed under the name uncultured Neocallimastigales. Its description in RNAcentral is "partial large subunit ribosomal RNA". It matches the Rfam family "Eukaryotic large subunit ribosomal RNA", at positions 24 to 635 of the family's 3401-position model. The record is from RNAcentral. Lineage: Eukaryota; Fungi; Neocallimastigomycota; Neocallimastigomycetes; Neocallimastigales.